This 480-nucleotide ribosomal RNA is filed under the name uncultured bacterium. RNAcentral describes it as "partial 16S ribosomal RNA". It matches the Rfam family "Bacterial small subunit ribosomal RNA", at positions 28 to 507 of the family's 1533-position model. The record is from RNAcentral.
GACGAACGCUGGCGGCGCGCCUAACACAUGCCAGUCGAGCGAUGAAAUUCUAAUCGAUCUCUUCGGAGAGAAGACAAAAUGGAUUGGCGGCGGACGGGUGAGUAACACGUGAUAAACCUGCCCUUCACAAGGGGAUAGCCUCGGGAAACUGGGAUUAAUACCCUAUGACACAUUUCUUUCGCAUGUAAGAAAUGUUAAAACGGCUGGGGUGAUAGAUGGUCUCGCGCCUGAUUAGCUGGUUGGUAGGGUAACGGCCGGCCAAGGCCAGGAGCAGUAACCGGGCUGAGGAGCUGAACGGUCGGGUUGGAGCUGCGGCACAGUCCACACUCGUACGGAGGGCAGCGGUGGAGAGUAUUGCACGCUGGAGGAUACUCUAGUGCAGCGGCGCCGCGUGAGAGAUGAAUGCGUUCGUGUCGUAAAGCUCUGUCCGAUGGGGAGAGAGUGACGGUAACGUAGGAAGAAGCACCGGCUAACUACGUG